UGGGGAAUAUUGGUCAAUGGGGGAAACCCUGAACCAGCAACGCCGCGUGAAGGAAGAAGGCCCUCGGGUUGUAAACUUCUUUGACAGGGGACGAUAAUGACGGUACCCUGAAAACAAGCCACGGCUAACUACGUGCCAGCAGCCGCGGUAAUACGUAGGUGGCGAGCGUUGUCCGGAAUUACUGGGUGUAAAGGGCGUGUAGGCGGCUAUUUAAGUCAGAUGUGAAAUGCAGGGGCUCAACCCCUGAGCUGCAUUUGAAACUGAGUAGCUUGAGUGAUGGAGAGGCAGAUGGAAUUCCCAGUGUAGCGGUGAAAUGCGUAGAUAUUGGGAGGAACACCAGUGGCGAAGGCGAUCUGCUGGACAUUAACUGACGCUGAGGCGCGAAAGCGUGGGGAGCAAACA
Molecule: ribosomal RNA, 402 nt
Rfam family: Bacterial small subunit ribosomal RNA